This 301-nucleotide ribosomal RNA is filed under the name uncultured bacterium. Its description in RNAcentral is "partial 16S ribosomal RNA". It matches the Rfam family "Bacterial small subunit ribosomal RNA", at positions 509 to 807 of the family's 1533-position model. The record is from RNAcentral.
CAGUCGCCGCGGGAAUACGAAGGGGGCUAGCGUCGUUCGGAAUUACUGGGCGUAAAGCGCACGUAGGCGGCUUGGUAAGUUAGAGGUGAAAGCCCAGGGCUCAACCCUGGAAUUGCCUUUAAGACUGCCGAGCUAGUAGGUGAGAGAGGUAAGUGGAAUUCCGAGUGUAGAGGUGAAAUUCGUAGAUAUUCGGAAGAACACCAGUGGCGAAGGCGGCUUACUGGCUCAUUCUAGACGCUGAGGUGCGAAAGCGUGGGGAGCAAACAGGAUUAGAUACCCCGGUAGUCCCUGUCUCUUAUAC